RNAcentral lists this ribosomal RNA (365 nucleotides) under uncultured bacterium. RNAcentral describes it as "bacterial SSU rRNA". It matches the Rfam family "Bacterial small subunit ribosomal RNA", at positions 129 to 507 of the family's 1533-position model. The record is from RNAcentral.
CCUCAAAGAGGGGGACAACAGUUGGAAACGACUGCUAAUACCGCAUAAGCCCACGGCUCGGCAUCGAGCAGAGGGAAAAGGAGCAAUCCGCUUUGAGAUGGCCUCGCGUCCGAUUAGCUAGUUGGUGAGGUAACGGCCCACCAAGGCAACGAUCGGUAGCCGGACUGAGAGGUUGAACGGCCACAUUGGGACUGAGACACGGCCCAGACUCCUACGGGAGGCAGCAGUGGGGAAUAUUGCACAAUGGGGGAAACCCUGAUGCAGCGACGCCGCGUGAAGGAAGAAGGCCUUCGGGUUGUAAACUUCUUUUACCAGGGACGGAGGACGUGACGGUACCUGGAGAAAAAGCAACGGCUAACUACGUG